This 1698-nucleotide ribosomal RNA is filed under the name Abudefduf vaigiensis (Indo-Pacific sergeant). Its description in RNAcentral is "16S rRNA". It matches the Rfam family "Bacterial large subunit ribosomal RNA". The record is from RNAcentral. Lineage: Eukaryota; Metazoa; Chordata; Actinopteri; Pomacentridae.
CGCCCAAUAGCUAGCUCACCCCUACAAAACCAAUAUUACCCUAUUAAUAACCCCUAAUACACUUAGACUCAUAAACAAACCAUUUUUCCUCCUUAGUACGGGCGACGGAAAAGGAACCUGAAGCAAUAGAGAAAGUACCGCAAGGGAAAGCUGAAAGAGGAAUGAAACAACCCAGUAAAGCACUAAAAAGCAGAGACACAACCUCGUACCUUUUGCAUCAUGAUUUAGCCAGCACCCCUUAAGCAAAGAGAAUUUUAGUUUAAUACCCCGAAACUAGGUGAGCUACUCCAAGACAGCCUAAUCAAUAGGGCGCCCCCGUCUCUGUGGCAAAAGAGUGGGAAGAGCUUUGAGUAGAGGUGACAGACCUACCGAACCUAGUAAUAGCUGGUUGCCUGGGAAUUGGAUAGAAGUUCAGCCUCAUAAGUUCUUCCCUCGCCCUGUCCAACCGGCCUAUUCCUGAGACCAGAAGAAAUUUUGAGAGUUAGUCAAAGGGGGUACAGCCCCUUUGAAACAAGACACAACUUUUCCAGGAGGAUAAAGAUCAUAAUAAUUUUAAGGCAAAAUGCUAUGGUGGGCCUAAAAGCAGCCAUCCUAAUAGAAAGCGUUAAAGCUCAAGCAUUAAUUAACCCCUACAAUACUGAUAAUAGAUCUAAAACCCCUAAACUUACCAGGCCGCUCCAUGCCCCCAUGGAAGCGACCAUGCUAAUAUGAGUAAUAAGAGAGCCCAAACUCUCUCCCAGCACAUGUGUAAAUCGGAACGGACCCCCCACCGAACCUUAACGGUCCCAAACAAAGAGGGCAAUGAGCAAAAAACCAAACAACAAGAAAAACACCCACUAUAACACCGUUAACCCCACACCGGCGUGCCAACAAGGAAAGACUAAAAGAAAAAGAAGGAACUCGGCAAACACACAAACUAAGCCUCGCCUGUUUACCAAAAACAUCGCCUCUUGAAAAAACAACAUAAGAGGUCCCGCCUGCCCUGUGACCACGUGUUUAACGGCCGCGGUAUUUUGACCGUGCAAAGGUAGCGCAAUCACUUGUCUUUUAAAUGGAGACCUGUAUGAAUGGCACGACGAGGGCUUAACUGUCUCCUUUUUCCAGUCAAUGAAAUUGAUCUCCCCGUGCAGAAGCGGGGAUAAAACCAUAAGACGAGAAGACCCUGUGGAGCUUUAGACACUAAGCCAGAUCACGUCAAAUACCCCCACUAAAGGAUCGAACUUACUGCAACCUGGCCUGAUGUCUUUGGUUGGGGCGACCUCGGGGAAGCAAAAAACCCCCGCGUGGAAUGGAAGAACUCUGCUUCCAGAACCAAGAGCCACCGCUCAAAUUAACAGAAUUUCUGACCAAUUACAGAUCCGGCUCAACGCCGAUCAACGGACCGAGUUACCCCAGGGAUAACAGCGCAAUCCUCUUUUAGAGCCCAUAUCGACAAGAGGGUUUACGACCUCGAUGUUGGAUCAGGACAUCCUAAUGGUGCAGCCGCUAUUAAGGGUUCGUUUGUUCAACGAUUAAAGUCCUACGUGAUCUGAGUUCAGACCGGAGUAAUCCAGGUCAGUUUCUAUCUAUGCUAUGAUCUUUUCUAGUACGAAAGGACCGAAAAGAAAAGGCCAAUACUUCAAGCACGCCUUACCCUCACCUAAUGAAAACAACUAAAAUAGGUAAAAGGGCAUAACCCCCUGCUCAAGAAAAUAGCAU